GAUUGUGGCUCAGUGGCAGAGCACUUGCUUAGCAUGUGUGAGGCACUGGGUUCAAUUCUCAGUACCG
This 67-nucleotide transfer RNA is filed under the name Marmota monax (woodchuck). RNAcentral's name for it is "tRNA.Ala". Lineage: Eukaryota; Metazoa; Chordata; Mammalia; Rodentia; Sciuridae. The record is from RNAcentral.